RNAcentral lists this ribosomal RNA (301 nucleotides) under uncultured bacterium. RNAcentral's name for it is "partial 16S ribosomal RNA". It matches the Rfam family "Bacterial small subunit ribosomal RNA", at positions 509 to 807 of the family's 1533-position model. The record is from RNAcentral.
CAGUCGCCACGGUAAUACGUAGGGUGCAAGCGUUAACCGGAAUUACUGGGCGUAAAGCGUGCGCAGGCGGUUCGCUAAGACAGAUGUGAAAUCCCCGGGCUUAACCUGGGAACUGCAUUUGUGACUGGCGGGCUAGAGUAUGGCAGAGGGGGGUAGGAUUCCACGUGUAGCAGUGAAAUGCGUAGAGAUGUGGAGGAAUACCGAUGGCGAAGGCAGCCCCCUGGGCCAAUACUGACGCUCAUGCACGAAAGCGUGGGGAGCAAACAGGAUUAGAUACCCCUGUAGUCCCUGUCUCUUAUAC